GCUUAGCUUAACAUGCCAAAUUAAUUUGUGAAUGUGUGUGAUCUUGUCUAUAAUAUGAAAAAUUCUUGAGAAAAUAUUCAAAUUCAAAAUGCUUAUAACUUAUACAUAUAUGGACAAAAUUUGCAGGGCUGAAUCCCGAAAUUUGGUAUUUAGGUCUCUGUUGGUGUCUGUGGUUAAGAUAUGGAAGUGGGUUUGGAAACGCGCUCUAUAUUUGCUUCCGUUGGUGUCUGUGGCUAAAAUGUGAAAGUGGGUUUGAAAUGUGCCCUAUAUUUGUAAGAAAACUUCUUAAUAAUUCUAAAAUUAGUGUUGGGUGAAGGAAUAAGGCUGGAAUCCCGAAAUUUGUUAUUCAAGUCUCUGUGGUUAAGAUAUGGAAGUGGGUUUGGAAAUGUGCCCUUUAUUUGCAAGAAAAAUUCUUUAUAAAACUAAAAUUGCAAUUGGAUGAAGGAAUAAGGCAGGAAUUCGGAAAAUUUUUAUUUAGGCACCUGAUGUUGUCAUAAGUUAAAAUAUAGAGGUAGUCUUAGAAAAGCGUUCUAUAUAUGUACAAAAACUACUAAAUAAUACUAAAUUUGGUAUUGACUGAAGGAAUAAGGAUGGAAUCCCGAAAUUUGUUAUUUAGGUCUCUGUUGGUGUCUGUGGUUAAGAUAUUCAAAUGGUUUUAGAAAUGUUCCCUAUAUUUGUAAGAAAACUACAUAAUAAUACUAAAAUUGGUAUUGGGUGAAGGAAUAGGGCUGAAUGCCGAAAUUUUGUUAUUUAGGUCUCUGUUGGUGUAUGUGGUUAAGAUAUGGAAGUGGGUUUGGAAACGCGCUCUAUAUUUGCUUCCGUUGGUGUCUGUGGCUAAAAUGUGAAAGUGGGUUUGAAAAUGCGCCCUAUAGUUGUAAGAAAACUUCUCAAU
Musca domestica (house fly) is the source of this 892-nucleotide long non-coding RNA. RefSeq lists it as uncharacterized. NCBI's taxonomy places the organism in Eukaryota, Metazoa, Arthropoda, Insecta, Diptera, Muscidae. The record is from RefSeq and is a predicted model, not a curated record. The transcript is spliced from 3 exons.